AACCAACAUUGAACAUAAGCGACAGCUUGAUUCAGUCAGAGUGAAGAGGGCCGGCAAAUGUGGUGCCAGCCGCCGCGGUUAUACCACACGACCCAAGUUGACCUUGCAGCGGCGUAAAGCGUGAUUAAAGUUACCCUGCCACUAUAGUUAAACUAAAAAUUAGCUGUAUAAUGCUCUUUACCUAGUAUACCCAAAAACGAAAGUUACUAUAUACAAAACAACUUGAAUUCACUACAGUUAGGGCACAAACUAGGAUUAGAUACCCUACUAUGCCUAACCAUAAACCUUCAACCUACACUAACAUCGCCAGGUAACUACGAGCAAAGCUUAAAACCCAAAGGACUUGACGGUCCCCCACAUCCCCCUAGAGGAGCCUGUCCUUUAAAUCGAUAGUCCCCGUUAA
RNAcentral lists this ribosomal RNA (403 nucleotides) under Hyloscirtus mashpi (Mashpi stream treefrog). RNAcentral's name for it is "partial 12S ribosomal RNA". It matches the Rfam family "Bacterial small subunit ribosomal RNA", at positions 445 to 967 of the family's 1533-position model. The record is from RNAcentral. Lineage: Eukaryota; Metazoa; Chordata; Amphibia; Anura; Hylidae.